AGUGAACGCUGGCGGUAGGCCUAACACAUGCAAGUCGAACGGCAGCACAGUAAGAGCUUGCUCUUACGGGUGGCGAGUGGCGGACGGGUGAGGAAUACAUCGGAAUCUACUUUUUCGUGGGGGAUAACGUAGGGAAACUUACGCUAAUACCGCAUACGACCUACGGGUGAAAGCAGGGGAUCUUCGGACCUUGCGCGAUUGAAUGAGCCGAUGUCGGAUUAGCUAGUUGGCGGGGUAAAGGCCCACCAAGGCGACGAUCCGUAGCUGGUCUGAGAGGAUGAUCAGCCACACUGGAACUGAGGCACGGUCCAGACUCCUAUGGGAGGCAGCAGUGGGGAAUAUUGGACAAUGGGCGCAAGCCUGAUCCAGCCAUACCGCGUGGGUGAAGAAGGCCUUCGGGUUGUAAAGCCCUUUUGUUGGGAAAGAAAAGCAGCAGGUUAAUACCCCGCUGUUCUGACGGUACCCAAAGAAUAAGCACCGGCUAACUUCGUG
This 492-nucleotide ribosomal RNA is filed under the name uncultured bacterium. RNAcentral's name for it is "partial 16S ribosomal RNA". It matches the Rfam family "Bacterial small subunit ribosomal RNA", at positions 29 to 507 of the family's 1533-position model. The record is from RNAcentral.